CCUUUGGAAAUAUUCUGCUUAUGUUCGUGGAUUCUGUCUCUAAGGUUUCGGUAGGUGGCCCCAAUGUCUAUACUCCUCUAUACCUCUAAAACCUCUAUACUCUGAAAUAAUAAAGCGAUCAAUACCAAAGAAAGAAGAAACAGCAGUUCUUAUAUACUCAUCCAAGGGCAUGGAGAUAUUGGAACCAUGGAAACUCCUAGAUAAAGUUAAGAAAGAGGUAGAUUUGCAAGAUAUAAAAAUGGGCGUGAAGAAUGCAAGAACCAUAAGAUCUGAUGUGGUCAUCACCUGUUGCACCAGUUCUAGUGUGGCAAAGUUGAAGGCUAAACUUCAAGAGAAGAAAGACUAUGAUGUCAAGGAUUCAACAGAAAGAUGUCCAAGGAUCAGGGUUACCAAAGCCCUUUGAACAUUACUGCCAAGGCUCUUACGAGUAACAUGCGAAUCUUCAAUGACCACAUCGAGGGUGAACUAUUUUCCCCAAACAAUUUUCGACCAGUGUUCCAGGUGGGGAAAUAGGCAGACAGAAACCUGUGCUCCUGGGUGGUGGAGGUGGACCCGAGGACUAGAAAGGCAAUCAGCAAAAACAAUGAUUAUUUAAUCAUUGGCUGGUCAUCAUACAAGAUAAGGGAUUUUUUUCAGCUUCUGUUGUUGCAGUAUGUGUUGGGCUUAUGGACGUUUGGCCAAAAAAGUGUAUAGCUGAUGUGGUCUGCCCCAGUUGUGCUGAAACUGGCCAUGAUUCGAACCAGUGCACAGCUCAAAGAGAAUAGUUUAAAGUCUAAACUAUUCUAUUGGUGUUGUCUAAAGUAUAACACCAGAUGUCAACAACAAUCAUCCCAAGUUGAUCCCAAUCAUGGUGCC
RNAcentral lists this long non-coding RNA (855 nucleotides) under Androctonus crassicauda. Lineage: Eukaryota; Metazoa; Arthropoda; Arachnida; Scorpiones; Buthidae. The record is from RNAcentral.